GUUGACUCGAAUAUAUUUGAGGGAGAACGGUGCGAUCAAACGAACUGCAAGCGGAUUUGAAAGCCCCCACUAAACACGAGGAUCAUGGUCCUUUUAAACUCCAGUGACUGAGGAAUGUGCAGGUAUUUGGGCACCAGAGAGAUUCACGGUCACGAAAUGGAGAAGUGCCCACUUCCUCGUUGCAGGUUCAAAUGCAUGCAGACAGAGGUCAUCAUGCCACAGCCAGCACCGACCAUACCACACAGGCAAGACUUCACAUGUCACCUUUAUACAUUAACUCGUUCUCUGUCAGCUCGUGCAGAUGAGACAUUUACAGGCAGCAGCUGUUGUUGACUUUCCAAUUUUUACUCUGAAGAGGUGAGAAAAGGCUAACUGGGACUUCUGAAGGUGGCAGAAUUUACCUUGAAGAUGAAUUGAUUUGAAUUACUUUCCAAGUACUGUUAAGUCAACUUCCAUUCUAUUUGGGAAGUGAGACGUGACUGAAUGUUCCUGUCCAAUUAAAUCCCUACUAGGAUUCGGAUAGAAAUCCCUGGCGCGAUAGUCAAAUGAUUGCAUACCUCAGAACCAUCCAAAAUAAUAUUUUGAGGUGUAGCCCAUGGUCAGUGGAUUUCUAUCCAAAUCCUCUUUGGUUCAACUACACCAGUUACAGGAUUGGCACUCAUUCAAAGCAUUCUGACGUUGUGAUCCCAAAGGGGGAAAGUUAAGGGUUGUCUUUCCUGACAAAUGCUAAUGAAGGUACACAGUACCCACGGUUGUUACCAGGAGGGCACUCUACAGGCAGUAUGGUAUGGAAAUGAGUUCAUACUCUUGCUUUAAUCUGCAGUGUUUUAGGUGUGUGGCGUUUUAAAGUAUCUUAUUUUUCAAGCAUUGUUUACUUUCCUGCUAACUAAAUGCUGUGCUCUUCUUUUUUU
Molecule: long non-coding RNA, 911 nt
Organism: Oncorhynchus nerka (sockeye salmon)
Lineage: Eukaryota; Metazoa; Chordata; Actinopteri; Salmoniformes; Salmonidae
Exons: 2
Source: RefSeq, a predicted model, not a curated record